GAUGAGAACGCAGCGAAAUGCGAAAAGUAAUGUGAAUUGCAGAAUUCAGUGAACCAUCGAAUCUUUGAACGCACAUUGCGCCCGCUGGAACUCCGGCGGGCACGCCUGUCCGAGCGUCAUUUCAACCCUCAGGCCCCCCUUCGCGGGCGGGCCUGGUGUUGGGGCCCGGCCGCUACCCUGCGGCCGUCCCCUAAAUCCAGUGGCGGCCUCGCCGUGAUCCCUUGCGUAGUAAUGCACCUCGCACCGGAGAGCGCCGUGGCCACGCCGUAAAACCCCCAAUUUUCAAUGGUUGACCUCGGAUCAGGUGGGAAUACCCGCUGAACUUAAGCAUAUCAAUAAGCGGAGGA
Molecule: unclassified non-coding RNA, 347 nt
Filed under: soil metagenome
Description: partial contains 5.8S ribosomal RNA, internal transcribed spacer 2, and large subunit ribosomal RNA
Rfam family: 5.8S ribosomal RNA (bases 5-119)
Source: RNAcentral